AGCAGCCGCGGUAAUUCCAGCUCCAAUAGUGUAUAUUAAAGUUGUUGCAGUUAAAAAGCUCGUAGUUGAAUUUCGGGAUCAAAUUGUCGGUCGUGCCUCGGUACGCACUGGUAUUAUUGGUUCCUACCUUCUGAAGAACCGCGAUGUCAUUAAUUUGGUGUCGUGGGGAAUCAGGACUGUUACUUUGAAAAAAUUAGAGUGUUUAAAGCAGGCUUACGCUUGAAUACAUUAGCAUGGAAUAAUGAAAUAGGACGUUUGAUUCUAUUUUGUUGGUUUCUAGGAUUGACGUAAUGAUUAAUAGGGAUAGUUGGGGGCAUUAGUAUUCAAUUGUCAGAGGUGAAAUUCUUGGAUUUAUUGAAGACUAACUACUGCGAAAGCAUUUGCCAAGGAUGUUUUCAUUAAUCAAGAACGAAAGUUAGGGGAUCGAAGACGAUCAGAUACCGUCGUAGUCUUAACCAUAAACUAUGCCGACUAGGGAUCGGAUGAUGUUAAUUUUUUAAUGACUCA
RNAcentral lists this ribosomal RNA (507 nucleotides) under uncultured Glomus. Its description in RNAcentral is "SSU rRNA". It matches the Rfam family "Eukaryotic small subunit ribosomal RNA", at positions 569 to 1078 of the family's 1831-position model. Lineage: Eukaryota; Fungi; Glomeromycota; Glomeromycetes; Glomerales; Glomeraceae. The record is from RNAcentral.